CCCAUUCUAGGAAGCAAAAUAUAAAGAAUGGAAGUAAAGAAGAAUCAAUGAAACAAACAAAAAAUGAAAGAGAGCGCCCAUUCCAACAAGCCAAAAGUAGUUGCGUUGUAAAGAAGAUUCGAUCCAUCGCUGCAUGGAUGGUACAUACCGCCUUUUUCAUUAACAUCCUUCGACUUUUUGUUAUUUUGGAUGCGAUACUUAAUAUAUGAUGGUGAAAUAUUAUAAUAAUUAUAAUUGAAAAUAUAAUAAUAAAUAAAAUUGAGUAUCUUCUUCUUGGUUGAGGUAAGAUGUCUCAUUCUUUUUAAGGAAAUUCAAAUCCACCGCAG
Molecule: long non-coding RNA, 326 nt
Filed under: Capsicum annuum
Lineage: Eukaryota; Viridiplantae; Streptophyta; Magnoliopsida; Solanales; Solanaceae
Description: long non-coding RNA (CANN_LNC015790)
Source: RNAcentral